This 895-nucleotide long non-coding RNA is filed under the name Equus caballus (horse). RNAcentral describes it as "lncRNA (ENSECAG00000043091.2)". Lineage: Eukaryota; Metazoa; Chordata; Mammalia; Perissodactyla; Equidae. The record is from RNAcentral.
CCGCCCCCGAGCCCCGGGCGGAAGGGGCGGCGGGCUCCGGAGGGCCCUCCCCGGCCCGCGGCUCCCGGGGCCGCCGGCUCCAUCCCGCGUCCCGGGCCUGCCUUGUCCCCGCGCCCAAAAGCGCGGCCGCCCGGGGCCUGCGGCGCAAACGCCUGUUGCCCUUGGCAGCCUGUGCCCAGAGGCCGGAGUGUGGACGGAAAUGUGGAAAGCCCUGACACAGAAAACACGAGAAACACGAGAAAAAGUUCACAGAGUUGCAAAGAUAUCUUCUCAAGGGAGCGCCAACAAGAUUUGCUGACAAAUUGAAUGUGAAGUAUGAGAGGAAGAGAGGAAGCAAGGAUGACUGCAAGAUUUAUUGGCCUUUAUAACUGGAAGGCUGAAGUUGACGUCAGCUAGCAUUGGGAAGGCUGCAAGCGGAGUAGCCCAGAGAGUGAAGGCAUGAGACUGGAAGAGAUCAACAAAGACGCAGAGUGAUUGGAGAUCAAAGGAGCCCCAGGAGUGACCCCAGGAGGUUCCAAUUUCAAGGUCAAGAGAUGAGAAGAAACAAUCAGUAAUCCAGGAGGAAAAUGAGGUGACGUGGGAGACUAGGGUGUGCUCGAAGCCAAGUGAAAGGAGUAUUUCAGGAGGACAGAAUAGUCAACACUUUGGCAAAUAUUGCAGAUCUGUCAAGUAUGAUGAAGACUGAGAGUUGACUGUUAGAUCUUGGAUUAGCCUUAUAAGGACAGAUUUGGUGGCAUGGUGGGGGCAAAGGUCUGGUUGGAGUGGGUUCAAGAGAGAACGAAAGGAAUAAUUGGAGAUGUGGAAUAGAGAAAACUCUUUUUAAAUAGUUUUACUCUAAAACAGGGUUUCUUAACCUCAGCAGUAUUGGCAUUUUGGACCAGGUAACUCUUUGUUG